AAGGCAACAGCCCCCUCCGCCGUGGCUUACCACGGGGCAGGGAAGUGUGCCGAUCUUGACGAAGUUUCGGGGCUGCUUCCUCCUCGGCCAGCCUGGCUGCACCCUGAUGUCGCGCACCUCGCCCUGCCCUACCUGUGCCUGAGUCUGAUGUGUUGUGGCUAAGGCUCCAGACUUGCGGUGCUCCCGCUGGUCCUGCCCUCCCUGAGGAAGGGCCUGUGCCUCUCUUCCCUCUCGCUGAGCAGUGUCGCCACUGGGAUCUCGGAGUGAUACCACCACCCCCCACACAGGACAGAGCAUGGUCGGACCCGGGGACUCUUCCUUCUGGUUCUGACCACCCGGCCCUACCCAGACCACCUUGGGGCCUUUUCCAGAAAUGGUUGCGUUUCCCCUUUACUUUCAGACAUAUCCAUGACCGACAGCUUGGGGGGGGGGCUGGGGGGCUGUCCCUUCCCCACAGCCUGGCUGACCUCUUCAGGGCUAUCUGUGGGAUCGCUCCUCUUCAACAUCUGUUUUCUCUCAAAAAGCUUCUCCCAUAGUGACUUCACCCAAAAUCUGGCAGUUCUAGUCCUAGUGACACCCGUGCUUUGUGACAAGUGCUAACGCUCCGAUCCUGUUCACACAAGCAACAAGCAACAUUUCCCAGAAUCCCAAGCGGCCUUGUACUUGAUUCGUGUCCGUCCAUACGUACAAUGUUUCUCUGCACAUACUGUAUAUAAAACCACUGCUUCUGGAAAAGCCAGGAAACGUCGUCCUCCAGCUCUUUCGAUUGGGCUUUGUGUUCCACGUGAUUAUGACAGCACAGGUGGCCAUCUUUGGGAUGGGUUAUUUCAGGGACAAGGUGACCCCGUGUUCUCUUUGUUUAACUCGUCGUGGUAGCGGAUGUUUUGGUAUCUGACGCCUAGUGGAAUACAGUUCGGUGUUGUGUGUGUGAUUUCUGUAAUUGUCAGGGGUGGAGUGCACCCUUGAAACGUGCGAAGAAAUAAACGCCUUAUGACACCAGCUGCGGAAGGCA
This 1012-nucleotide long non-coding RNA is filed under the name Ursus maritimus (polar bear). RNAcentral's name for it is "lncRNA (ENSUMAG00000004956.1)". The record is from RNAcentral. Lineage: Eukaryota; Metazoa; Chordata; Mammalia; Carnivora; Ursidae.